GGACGAACGCUGGCGGCGUGCCUAAUACAUGCAAGUCGAGCGGACCGGAUUGGGGCUUGCCUUGAUUCGGUCAGCGGCGGACGGGUGAGUAACACGUGGGCAACCUGCCCGCAAGACCGGGAUAACUCCGGGAAACCGGAGCUAAUACCGGAUAACACCGAAGACCGCAUGGUCUUCGGUUGAAAGGCGGCCUUUGGGCUGUCACUUGCGGAUGGGCCCGCGGCGCAUUAGCUAGUUGGUGAGGUAACGGCUCACCAAGGCGACGAUGCGUAGCCGGCCUGAGAGGGUGACCGGCCACACUGGGACUGAGACACGGCCCAGACUCCUACGGGAGGCAGCAGUAGGGAAUCUUCCGCAAUGGGCGAAAGCCUGACGGAGCGACGCCGCGUGAGCGAAGAAGGCCUUCGGGUCGUAAAGCUCUGUUGUGAGGGACGAAGGAGCGCCGUUCGAAGAGGGCGGCGCGGUGACGGUACCUCACGAGAAAGCCCCGGCUAACUACGUGCCAGCAGCCGCGGUAAUACGUAGGGGGCGAGCGUUGUCCGGAAUUAUUGGGCGUAAAGCGCGCGCAGGCGGUCUCUUAAGUCUGAUGUGAAAGCCCACGGCUCAACCGUGGAGGGUCAUUGGAAACUGGGGGACUUGAGGGCAGGAGAGGAGAGCGGAAUUCCACGUGUAGCGGUGAAAUGCGUAGAGAUGUGGAGGAACACCAGUGGCGAAGGCGGCUCUCUGGCCUGCACCUGACGCUGAGGCGCGAAAGCGUGGGGAGCAAACAGGAUUAGAUACCCUGGUAGUCCACGCCGUAAACGAUGAGUGCUAAGUGUUAGAGGGGUCACACCCUUUAGUGCUGCAGCUAACGCGAUAAGCACUCCGCCUGGGGAGUACGGCCGCAGGCUGAACUCAAGGAAUUGACGGGGGCCCGCACAGCGUGGAGCAUGUGUUUAUCGAGCACGCGAGACUUACCAGUCUGACAUCCCUGACACCCAGAGAUUGGGCGUUCCCCUUCGGGGGACAGGGUGA
Molecule: ribosomal RNA, 1014 nt
Filed under: Geobacillus sp. W1
Lineage: Bacteria; Bacillati; Bacillota; Bacilli; Caryophanales; Anoxybacillaceae
Description: bacterial SSU rRNA
Rfam family: Bacterial small subunit ribosomal RNA
Source: RNAcentral